AGAGCGAGACUCCGAAUUAAAAAAAAAAAAAAAGAAGCCAUUUCUUGAUCCUGUUUACCUGUGUAACACCAUCUUCUCUUUUGCUGCAGUGAAGUUGUCUGUGUUUGUCUUCAUUUCCUCAAUUCUCAUCAUUCUUGAACUUCUGUAGUCCUCCUUUCUUUUACUACUCAAUUUACACUAUCCCCAUGGUCAUCAGAGGUUUUUCCCUUGGUCUCCUUUAUGGCACCUGACACCACUCAAGCUACUACUUCCUCACGUCUACAUUUGCUCUCUUUCGUCCCAGAAAAUUACUGGAUAUGGUCUAGGAUAUAAUUGCUCCCCUUGUCCCCACAUAUACCACACACACCUUGCCUCUUCUACAAACCUAUCCAGAAUCUUCUUAAUUCCCCUCACAUUCCCAAAAUGAGCUGAGCAGUCUUUGAAGUAAAAAUUAAGCUAUAGUUAAGUUUUACCUCCAUUUCACUUGUGCGUUUUGCUCCUUUUUUUUUUUUUUUUUUUUUUUGACCUCUUUCAAAUGAUCUUUGGGCUUCGAGUACCAUGAUCUACCCAGAUUUGCAUUCCCUGGGCUGUGUUCUAGUUCUGGUCAUGUCAGCUUUUCCCUUCUGAUGAAUCCUUGUAAUUACUUGAGACUCAUUCUGUCAGGCAAUAUCCACAGUGAAGAAGCCAGUGUGCAUUGUGGCAAAGCCCAGGAAGACCUAGGUGUGGAUUUUUGCUUUACCAUUUCCUGCCUGUGUGACUUAUGCCAUGGGGCUUCACUGGUGUGGGCACCAGUUUCUCAUCUCUUAGCUGAUAUCAUUUUGUUGGGAGGAUUACAUAGAGUAAUAUGUAUAAUAUAUCUGAUAACUAAGCAGUUUCAGUUAGUGGUAGUUGUUUUUAUUUGACAUAGUCUUGGUAAGUAUUAAUUUCUUCCUAAGCCCAGGGUAUUUGUAUUUUGACAACAAAUAAGUUUUAAAGAAAUCAAUCUAUACAUAUUAUGGAAAUUUGGACCCCUAUUUCCUAGUUGAGGAAAGGUAUCUGGCACCCAUCACCACAUAGGAGCCCCUGGGCUCCAGGACACCAGGGAAAAGAGGUUAAGUAGGUCCCACGUCUCUGACAUGAUAGCCAGUGAUUCAGUCAGGGUACAAUUGGGAAAACAGAACCCAUACCACAGGGACUGGUUACAAAAGUCUUGAAUAGCUAAAUGCAAAACAGGAUGGUUAGGUUGCAUUAUGUUGACAACAGUGACUCAGGUGGGCAGGCCCUACCUCCUUGAGGUGUUAUCUGUGGACAGAUUUUUGUGUGAUUGUGGCUCAACCCUGGAUUUCUUUCUUCAUGUGCCUGUUCUUAAUGGGCCCAGGAGAGGUAAUUCAAGGGAGCAAGGGACCUGUAGAAUGAUCAUGUCCUCUUAUUUCUAGCCAUAAGGUUAUGAAUCGUGUAUCUCGGGGGUCUGAUUCUAAAGGAAAUAAGUGUCUGCCAUAGCAGGAGAAUGGAAGGCAGACAGCUGUUCCUAUUACUAGAGUUUUAGCAGCCCUCGUAACUCAGCUAGCCCAGACUAGGAUCUCAAUAUCUCACUUAUUUCUUUACAUCUGUCUGAUGAACAGUAUAAGAAAACAAAUGAUCACUUAGAGGAUUCUGUUUGGUAGUUAAAACCGUAUUAAAAUAGGGUAGAAAUUAAGCCUCCUUGAUGGUGAAGAGAUUGGGAACCACCACUCCAGUGUUAGAAAAUACCAAAUGACAGAAGGUGGGCUAUAUUAAGUGGGAAUUCCCAAACCCCACCCCCUGGAAGGAAUGCUUGGUGACAAGCCUUAGAGGAGAGAGACGCUUGUCUAGCGCAUUGUCUGUGUGCCCAGAAAGAGAUGUGCACACCUUGAGACACUGAGAGAAGACCCUAGCGAGGAGAAGCCCCAGGCCAGCUUGUCAGCACAGGGCAUUGGAGGCCCCCAACCAGCUCCAAGUUCUGAACAGCACACAAAGGCGUGUACUGCUUCUUCAAAGGCAUGUACUGCUUCUCAUACCCAGCAGAGGCCUUGCACCAGGCCUCCCCAUGCAAAUCAGUGUCUCUGCAGGGUAGGUAAAGGACCUCUAGCUGUGCUCCCUAUGGGGGAACAAAUAUCCUGUGGGUCACUGAGAGUCUGGAAGAUUGCCCAACAUUUAUUUACUGAUCUGUGUUCACCACAGAGCCUAAGGUAUUUAUUAAUAUUGUUUCAACCAGUACAAGUGAUUCCUUCAUUUAGUGGUCAUCUCUGCACUCCACCACAGACUUUUGGGAAUUACAAGAUGAAAAGGGCCAGAUCCUCACCCUGGCAUAGCUCAGAGAAUUUGAUUGGGGAAGUAGGGACAUAGACGUGAUCACUACACCGUAAUUUACUAAGCUGUGAGAACUGGAGGUGCAUCAGUGACCAGAAUGCAUGUGAGCCAGAGGUAGAAGGUACUGUAGACAAAAGGAACAGCAUGCGCCGUAGGCUGUAUCAUUAGGUACAAUUUUCUGUCCUUGGAGGAGUCUUUUUAACCCUAAGACAAAAAUUAUGAAUAUAGAAAGAGGUCACGGUUCAUCUUUGCAGUUCUUUCAGGAGAAAGCUUGCUGUAAUUCACUUUCUAAGUUAAAAGAAAACAAAAAACAAAAAAAGAGUAAAUGAUAUGAAUAUCACCUGAAAGAAUCUGAGGUCUCAAACUUGGGAGGAUCUUUGAACAACAAUCUUGGGGAAUGCCUAACAGUUCAUACUCAUUUCUUGAUGUCUACAGAUGGAAACUCUACAGCCUCACAUAUGUUUCUUUUUUCUCUUAACUACUUUAUACUCACAGAAAAUCAGUAUUCAGCACUUCUAAUAGCAGGUCUAGUGGGAGCUUGAGAUCAGAACAGAGUUCCAUAGAGGGAAACUGAGGACACACAAGGCAGAGCAGUACCCCCUCAUCCAUGGGGACCUGUCUGACUGGAGGUAAGGGAGGAGAUUCUAGUCCACAGAUAAUCAGGGAAGGUUAAAACUAUGUGUGUUUGUGACAUUUUUGCUCUCUUAGACCCAGAUACAGGCUGGAAAUCCUUUGGGUUUUGGUGACUCAAAGUGUGGCCAAAAGAACCAGCAGCUUCAGCUUCUCUGGGAGAACAUAUGAGUGCAGAAUUUCAAGCCCGCACAAAGUUUUUAAAGAGCUCCCUCUUUGCCCACUAGCAGGGCAAUAGCUGGUGUUGAAAACAGUGGCUGCUUGGCAAGCCUGGAUCUCCAAGUGACUCCAAGUGACCCCCUCAGCAACUCCUGAUGAACAGGACUGAAACCAAUAACAAGGCAAGUCAACCAAAGGUUCUGUGGUGUAGACAAGACAACAAAAGGACAGACUACCUGUGGAACCUGGCCUUGUUCUUCUGCGGCACUAAGUGACAUUUGUGCUCCGUAAGAUCUUUGCAAACCACACACAAGAAUUGCUGGUCAUCCUGCCAAUAGAUGCUGCUCACAGAACCAAAUUUCUUGUGCUGGAUUGUCACUCAUGGGCUUGAGAGUAGGAGACUGGAGACCAAGGUGGCUAGAAUCCAGUUGGGCCUGACGUGUCCCUGUUGAAAGAGCUCCUUGUGGAAUGGACAGCACAUGGCUCCCGUGGUGGAUCUGAUAGUGGUACAGCACCAAGUGAUGCAGGCCUGCCUGGGCCACAGCCACAGAAGAUGCUCCCAGGGUCCCCCGUGUACUCCAGACACACUGCAGGCCACCUCUCCCAGCAGGUUCCUAGUCAUGGGCCCCAUCAUCAUGACUUCUGUCCAAGGUGUGCUCAGAAAUCUCCUCCUUAACACCUGUGACUUUCUGACAGGUGGAGGAUGUGGUCAGGAACGGGAAAAGGAUUUAAGACGGGAAGAGGGAGGGGUUCAGGAUGAGGAGAGAUAAUCUGUGCCACAGAUGCUGGCCCUGCAGUUACCUCCCACCUAGUCCAUGCACACACAUUCUAAUCCCCUCCCAUUCCUCUACAUGCUGUGGCCAGAGAGGCCUUUCUCAAAGUGGAAGUCUCAUCCUCACUUCUCUGGUUACAGUGCUGGGCCGUGAAUGACUUAAAAGGCUAAGCAGGAACUGUCUGCACACUCCCCGCUCCUGCCUCCUACCUUGUUUCCCUCCAGUCGCGAGAGCAAACAUUGAUUGAGCAUUAACAAUGUGCCAGGCUUGUCCUAAGUCCUUCAUAUGUAUUCACUCAAACAAUCCUCACAACAUUCCUGUCACAUCUCCUGUUUCACAGUGAGGGUUCUAAAGCACGCAGUGGGUGAGGAACUUGUCCAGGGUCACACAACUAAGUGGGGGUGGAGAAACAUCAAAUCUAGGUGGUCCAGGUGGUGGCCAGAACCCAUCAGCACCUCACUACAGCUGCCUCCAGCUUCUCCCUCUAGGAAAUACUCUUCCCUGUCAACUCCUGUUGUCCUCUGGGCUCAGUUGACAUGUCAUCUCCUCAAGGAGGACAUCCUGAGAUGCUCCCCGACUAGGGUGGGCACCCACUUCCACACUUCAAAUGCAUGUCUAUUUGACGUGUGUAUUGCUGCAUCCCCACUGCAUGGCAGAUAGCAGGCCCCUAAUAAGUAUGAUUUGAGCAAAUAAAUAUGGUUAUUCAAAAAAUAGGGAGGACUUCUUGUUUCUAGUAAUGGUGGGCUAGGACAUUUGGACCAACCCUCCUGCAGAAAAUAGCCAUUUAUUUUGAUGCAAUAUACCUGGCUACGACUAUGGAGAUUUCAAAUAUUUGGAGGGCUAUUAUGUGAAGAUUUAUACUUACUCUUGGUGACAUAGAGGUUAGAAAUUGGUCGUUUCCAUAGAGUAUGAGAGACACAGAAUUGUGCUCAUCAUAAGGAUCUUUUUUAAAAAUUAGACUUAAUAAAAUGGGCUGCUUUGGUAGGUGGUGAGUUGUCUGUCAUGAAAGAGAUUCAGCCACUUGCUCUGAGAAAGCUGGAGAAUAUCGACAUUGCAAGGGUCGACCACCUCAUCUCUGAGGCCCCCUCCUCGCUUAGGUUGCCAUUGUACGUGGAAUACUGGGCUGAGUGUCAGAGAACUUGGGUUCCACAAGCUAUGCGAUCAUGGCUGGUUAUUGGAUCUAUUCCUAGUACCUGUUAGUUAAGCUGACCCAUCAGUACUGACCCACUUCACAGAGUUACGAAGGGAUUAAAUUUGGUAUUACAUAUAAAUUUUUAUUUUGUUUGCUUUUUGUUGUUUUUUGUUUUGCUUUUUUCUUUGCAUUAUGAAAUCCCAAGUCAACUUUUUCCAUUCUUUUAUUUCUUAAAAAAUUGACAUCAUCAUAACAAAAUAAUUUUUAAAAUAAAAUAAAAAAAAAAAAACCCUGCAACCCCACUAUCUAAUACAAUAAUCAUACUUUUUUCUCUCUAUUCUCUUUUAUUGUGACCAAGGAUGACUUUGGGCAUUGAUGUGAGGAACUAUUUCGUUUAACACCCUGCUAUCUGAACAUGAUUCACACUCAGCCUUUCACCACCCCGCAAGUAGCUACACAUGAUAUGAUAAUAGUAUUGGUGGUGGUUUUAGAGAGUUGGAGAGAAAACUGAAGUUGGAUUUGGGUAAAAGAAAAAAGAGUGGGCAUUAUGUUUUCUCCAUUCUAAAGCCCAUGGAGCAGUGUUAAUUGUUCCCACCCCUCUGCUAUUCUGUCUUUUCAGUUACUGUGUGCAGAAAUGUGAUUGAGAUUCAAGUCAGGGCCUCUGCCCUUUUCCCUCCGGAAACAAAACCAAGAUAAUUUAUCCUGAACACACACGGUGAAAAAAGGAAGGAAGGGAGCGGGGAGAAAAAGUCCAGGUCUUACCUGGGAUUCUCUGUCUCCUGCAACAUGAAGGGUUUAGCCUGGGAGGAGGUGGUGAGAACUCUGGGAGAGAAAAAAGAAGGAAAGAAUAGUUUUACCCAUGCUGAAGUUAAACCUUUACCUAGAGAAGCAAAACAAACAAACAAACAAAAAAACACUGUUCCAUUUUGUGCCUCCCUUCCUAGAGUUUUGGCCAGAGGUUUAACUAAGUAAUUGGUUUUACCAGGGCACUCACUCCUCUUAUCCCGAGUCUGUUUGCCUCCCUCCCCAUCAUCCUCCUCACCUCUUUCAGGCAGGGUGGGGAUAGCAGCAGGAGGAGAUUCUGGGAGCUUGGCAACUCCUGUAAGGACCGCAGGACAGCCCCUGUGUGGGGAUGCGUGGUGCCCCAUCGGCCGUCCUUCUGAGAAGAAGAAUGCACUGCCUUCACUUUACUGUGUUAGAGUCCAUCCAGACGGUUCUAUCCAAAGAAUAGUUUCUUUUUUCCCCAACAGGCAAUCAGGAAAUGAUUCCUUUCCCGACUACUUUUGUCUAGUGCCUGGGAAUCUUGAGUCAGUCCCUCAGUAAGUCAGUGACUAAGGAAAUCUCCCCUCUCUGAGCCUCCCAGUUCAUGUUGCUUAGGGAACCUGAUAUUUUCAUGAAAUCUGCCUACACAUGGGCAGCCCAAGAGCAGAGCUAAUGGUGGUGACCAAAGUGAACAAAGAAGUACAGUUGUGCCAGCUUCCUAGUUGCCCAUGUGGACAAGUCAGCAGGAUCAGGACACGAGGAAGAGUAAAUGUGAGACAGUCAUGUGACUUCUGUGAUAAUAUUCUAGAUUUUUAAACCCUGAAAUUUUGCUAAAAUUUUGGUGAAACCCUGAACUUUCUUCAUUGCAUAUACUGGCCCUAUCUGUACCAUCAUACAACUAUCUCACAUUAAAGCUAUUUUUCUUGAGCACUGAUGAGUAAGGUUGGUAUGUUUGAGUUCCUCAGAUCAACAAAAACCCAUUUCCCUGUAAGUCUUAUGUUUAGUAUUUAAGGAACUAAAACUUAAAUACAUUGUGUGAAAUGGUUGACACUUCACUGAUAAUGAUUUAUUGCUUGGAUUAAUAAAUUUUCCAAAAGUUGUCUUAUUAUGUAGAAUAUGGUUUGCAACCAGCAGAACCAUUAAUCUAUACUGUGAUAAAAUGCACCAUGUAUAAUUGUUUAAAAGCUUCUACUUAAUGAUGUAACAUGCUGUAUUUAAUUACACAUUUGGCUAAACUGUAUACUAACAUCUGAUGGCAUUUUUCCAGUGUGUUGCUUUUUUCAAAUACUUUAUUGUACAAAGCUGUUCUUAAUAUUUUUCAAGUUUUUCUCUUUGAAUUUUGCUAAUGUUUUCCUUGAAUUAUGAGCACUGACAGAAUGUGCUUAGCACUUUUGGCUAUUCACACAGCUUUUGAGCAUGAUUUGCAUCCAGUAUUGACAUUGCUAGCAAUAAAAAGCCAUCUGUGAGUUUUGUCAAAA
Non-coding RNA from Chlorocebus sabaeus (green monkey), 7220 nucleotides. Lineage: Eukaryota; Metazoa; Chordata; Mammalia; Primates; Cercopithecidae. The record is from RefSeq and is a predicted model, not a curated record.